Molecule: unclassified non-coding RNA, 558 nt
Filed under: Xanthomonas dyei pv. dysoxyli
Lineage: Bacteria; Pseudomonadati; Pseudomonadota; Gammaproteobacteria; Lysobacterales; Lysobacteraceae
Description: partial contains 16S-23S ribosomal RNA intergenic spacer and 23S ribosomal RNA
Rfam family: tRNA (bases 166-239)
Source: RNAcentral
CGGGCGUCCUCACAAAUUACCUGCAUUCAGAGAUUCAUACCGGCACAGGUCGGUAUGCGAAGUCCCUUUUGGGGCCUUAGCUCAGCUGGGAGAGCACCUGCUUUGCAAGCAGGGGGUCGUCGGUUCGAUCCCGACAGGCUCCACCAUAUUGAGUGAAAAGACUUCGGGUCUGUAGCUCAGGUGGUUAGAGCGCACCCCUGAUAAGGGUGAGGUCGGUAGUUCGAGUCUACCCAGACCCACCACUCUGAAUGUAGUGCACACUUAAGAAUUUAUACGGAUCAGCGUUGAGGCUGGUACGUGUUCUUUUAUAACUUGUGACGUAGCGAGCGUUUGAGAUAUCUAUCUAAACGUGUCGUUGAGGCUAAGGCGGGGACUUCGAGUCCCUAAAUAAUUGAGUCGUAUGUUCGCGUUGGUGGCUUUGUACCCCACACAACACGUACAUAUAGCUCCGAGGCAACUUGGGGUUAUAUGGUCAAGCGAAUAAGCGCACACGGUGGAUGCCUAGGCGGUCAGAGGCGAUGAAGGACGUGGUAGCCUGCGAAAAGUGUCGGGGAGCUG